RNAcentral lists this ribosomal RNA (881 nucleotides) under uncultured bacterium. Its description in RNAcentral is "bacterial SSU rRNA". It matches the Rfam family "Bacterial small subunit ribosomal RNA", at positions 8 to 886 of the family's 1533-position model. The record is from RNAcentral.
AGAGUUUGAUCCUCGGCUCAGGAUGAACGCUAGCGGCAGGCUUAAUACAUGCAAGUCGAGGGACAGCACAGGUAGCAAUACUGGGUGGUAACCGGCAAACGGGUGCGGAACACGUACACAACCUUCCUUUAAGUGGGGGAUAGCCCAGAGAAAUUUGGAUUAAUACCCCGUAACACAGUGGAGUGGCAUCACUCUAUUGUUAUAGAUACGUCGCUUAAUGAUGGGUGUGCGUCUGAUUAGAUAGUUGGCGAGGUAACGGCUCACCAAGUCUACGAUCAGUAGCUGAUGUGAGAGCAUGAUCAGCCACACGGGCACUGAGACACGGGCCCGACUCCUACGGGAGGCAGCAGUAAGGAAUAUUGGUCAAUGGACGCAAGUCUGAACCAGCCAUGCCGCGUGAAGGAUUAAGGUCCUCUGGAUUGUAAACUUCUUUUAUUUGGGACGAAAAAGGGCCUUUCUAGGUCAACUGACGGUACCAGAUGAAUAAGCACCGGCUAACUCCGUGCCAGCAGCCGCGGUAAUACGGAGGGUGCAAGCGUUAUCCGGAUUCACUGGGUUUAAAGGGUGCGUAGGCGGGUAGGUAAGUCAGUGGUGAAAUCCUGGAGCUCAACUUCAGAACUGCCAUUGAUACUAUUUAUCUUGAAUAUUGUGGAGGUAAGCGGAAUAUGUCAUGUAGCGGUGAAAUGCUUAGAUAUGACAUAGAACACCUAUUGCGAAGGCAGCUUACUACGCAUAUAUUGACGCUGAGGCACGAAAGCGUGGGGAUCAAACAGGAUUAGAUACCCUGGUAGUCCACGCCCUAAACUAUGAUUACUCGACAUUUGUGAUACACAAUAAGUGUCUGAGCGAAAGCAUUAAGUAAUCCACCUGGGAAGUACGUC